AGAGUUUGAUCCUGGCUCAGAACGAACGCUGGCGGCAGGCCUAACACAUGCAAGUCGAACGCUCCGCAAGGGGAGUGGCAGACGGGUGAGUAACACGUGGGAAUCUUCCUAUCGGUACGGAAUAGCUCAGGGAAACUUGAGGUAAUACCGCAUACGCCCUUCGGGGGAAAGAUUUAUCGCCGAUAGAUGAGCCCGCGUCUGAUUAGCUAGUUGGUGAGGUAAUGGCUCACCAAGGCGACGAUCAGUAGCUGGUCUGAGAGGAUGACCAGCCACAUUGGGACUGAGACACGGCCCAAACUCCUACGGGAGGCAGCAGUGGGGAAUAUUGGACAAUGGGCGCAAGCCUGAUCCAGCCAUGCCGCGUGAGUGACGAAGGUCUUCGGAUUGUAAAGCUCUUUUGCCAGGGACGAUAAUGACGGUACCUGGAGAAUAAGCCCCGGCUAACUUCGUGCCAGCCGCCGCGGUAAUUC
Molecule: ribosomal RNA, 470 nt
Filed under: uncultured bacterium
Lineage: Bacteria
Description: bacterial SSU rRNA
Rfam family: Bacterial small subunit ribosomal RNA
Source: RNAcentral